AUGUGGUGGCAAAGGGGUGACCGUGUGCAGUGGAGUCCCAGCGCCUGUGCACCCACGGAGCCACAGCCAGGGGGCACAGACACAGACCGUGGCGUGCAGCCCCCCCCAGCCAGGGGGCACAGACACAGACCGUGGCAUGCAGCCCCCCCCAGCCAGGGGGCAGACACAGACCGUGGCAGGCGAGGCCCUGCCCGCCUACCUGCUGGCCCCGGGGUGGGACAUGUCCGAGGAGCUGAGGGCCCAGGGACAGAGCACAGCCCCACCUCUGAGGACCCCCACAGGGGCCGGGCAGCAGUUCCCCUCCCACCCCAACGUACACGUGUGUGCAUGAACACACACACAGCUGGACACCAGGACAUGGCCACUCGUGCAGCUGCCUCAAAGGUCGGGGCCUUCCUGGGGGGCGCCCUGCAUGGCCGUGGCCCUUUUCCUGACUGCGGCCACAGGCUGAGGGCAUCCAUCCCUGGGGGUCUGUGUUGGGCUGAGACGAGGUGGGGGCUCCUGGCGCCCCGGGCCCCUCUUAAAGGAGCCCCUGCUUGGGCACCGUGCUCACCCUUGAGCUGUGGGGACAGAGGAGCAGGGGGUGAGGGAGUGGCCAGGGCAGGGGAGAGGCGUCCAGCCCCCUGUGCUCCCUCAGGAGUCAGCCCCUCCUUUCCUCCCCGACAGCCCCCACCCUGUGCAGCCCUGAGACGCGAGGCUUCCUGCAACACGGAGCCCACAAAUGGAUUCCUGAGGUUCCUAGAGGUCCCUAACUCCAAUCACUGCAUUUUUUUUAAAAGAUUUAUCCAUUUAUUUGAAAGAGUUACACAGAGAGGAGAAGCAGAGAGAGAGAGGUCCUCCAUCCACUGGUCCACUCCCCAAUUGGCCACAACGGCCGGAGCUGCACCGAUCUGAAGCCAGGAGCUCCAUCCGGUCUCCCACGCGGGUGCAGGGCCCCGAGCACAGGGUCAUCUUCUGUGGCAAUUAGCAGGGGGCUGCACUGGAAGCAGCGCCCUCACAGAUGCCGACGUGGUUUAUCCCACUGUGCCACAACCGAUGGCCAGUCACCGCAUUCUCGCCUUGGGGAAGCAAGUGCCCCUCCCCAGGCUGCCAGCACCAGGCCUCCGCCCCACCGUGUGUCCUCAGCGAGGGGACAGUGGCUGUAGGCACAGGUGCUAGUGAGUCCUACACCUUGGGCCCCGUGUGGCCGCCACUGCCCCCGGCUAUGCGGGGCCUCCCAGGAGCAGUUCCCCAAUGAGGGUGAGGGGUGUGCCGCGCGUGUGGCAGUGGCGCCAGGACUUCACGGUGACAAAGGCGGCUGUGGGCAUCACACCCUCGGCAGCUCUGCAGCCGCGUCCAGGGCUGUCCACCAUCCCCAUGCCCAGCUCGAGUGUGCCGGACCUGCAGCUGCCCACCCCAUGGGUAGCCACACGUGUGUCCAGCCCCCCGCCAGGUCCCGGCGUCCUGGGGCGACUCCGGCGGCCUCUCAGUCUCGUGCCGUGGAGCCCGGUGUUGCUGGCUAAGGGCCCUAUCCAGAGCUGGUGGGAGGCACGGUGCUGGCCCAGGAGGCAGGGCGGCUGCCUCGUGUCCUGGGGGCCAGGCAGCAGGGGGUCUCCCAGAGGUGCUCUCAGGGCUGACCACUGUUUCCAGGGAAAUCGGUUUUACAAAUGAAGCAGGAACCAGCGGACAAGCCCUGGGAGGGUCUGAUGGCAGACACAUCUCCCGCCCACGUCCACCACUGCACCCCUGCAAAGCCACAGCCACCCCCAGGGACGGCUCC
Long non-coding RNA from Oryctolagus cuniculus (rabbit), 1759 nucleotides. Lineage: Eukaryota; Metazoa; Chordata; Mammalia; Lagomorpha; Leporidae. The record is from Ensembl.